This is a non-coding RNA of Myotis brandtii (Brandt's bat), 74 nucleotides long. NCBI's taxonomy places the organism in Eukaryota, Metazoa, Chordata, Mammalia, Chiroptera, Vespertilionidae. The record is from Rfam.
GGUGGUUCUCAGGUGAUGCACCCUGGAAUCGGGCUCCUUCUCUCUGAUCCCGGGUGCGUCACCCAAGAACCACA